CCUACGGGUGGCAGCAGUGAGGAAUCUUGGUCAAUGGGCGCGAGCCUGAACCAGCCAAGUAGCGUGAAGGAUGACUGCCCUACGGGUUGUAAACUUCUUUUAUAAAGGAAUAAAGUGAGGCACGUGUGCCUUUUUGCAUGUACUGUAUGAAUCCGGAUCGGCUAACUCCGUGCCAGCAGCCGCGGUAAUACGGAGGAGCCGAGCGUUAUCCGGAUUUGUUGGGUUUAAGGGGAGCGUAGAUGGGUUGUUAAGUCAGGUGUGAAAGUUUGCGGCUCAACCGUAAAAGUGCAAUUGAUACUGGCAGCCUUGAGUACAGUUGAGGUAGGCGGAAUUCGUGGUGUAGCGGUGAAAUGCUUAGAUAUAACGAAGAACUCCGAUGGCGAAGGCAGCUUACUAAACUGCCACUGACAUUGAGGCUCGAAAGUGUGGGUAUCAAACAGGAUUAGAUACCCGGGUAGUC
RNAcentral lists this ribosomal RNA (460 nucleotides) under uncultured bacterium. Its description in RNAcentral is "partial 16S ribosomal RNA". It matches the Rfam family "Bacterial small subunit ribosomal RNA", at positions 338 to 795 of the family's 1533-position model. The record is from RNAcentral.